AGAAGUCCCGGCACCGGAGGGAAAUCCGGGCCUCUCCCUCCGCGCUGCGGAGGGGCCGCGGUCCCGUUUCCGCGGGGGAUGCUCCCGCUGACGCCCAGCGUUGGAGAAGGAGAUGCUCCAGACGAGUAAUUACAGCCUGGUGCUGUCCCUGCAGUUCCUGCUCCUCUUCUACGACCUGUUCGUCAACUCCUUCUCCGAGCUACUGCGCGUGGCUCCCGUCGUCCAGCUGGUGCUCUUCAUCAUCCAAGAUAUCGCCACCCUCUUCAACGUCAUCAUCCUUUUCCUCAUGUUCUUCAAUACCUUCGUCUUCCAGGCCGGCCUGGUCAGUCUCCUCUUUCGUAAAUUCAAGGGGACCAUCGUCUUGGCGGCCACAUACCUAGCUCUGAGCAUCUCCUUCCACGUCUGGGUCAUGAAUUUGCGCUGGAAAAACUCCAAUCGUUUCAUUUGGACCGAUGGACUCCAAGCCCUGUUUGUGUUCCAGAGACUGGCAGCUGUACUGUACUACUACUUCUACAAAAGGACAGCUGUGCGCCUGGGCGACCCCCGCUUCUACCAGGACUCUCUGUGGCUACGCAAGGAGUUCACACAGGUCCGCGGCUGAGCCCUCUCCCUCCGGACAGGUGGACUUCCUGCCCAGCCACAGCCUCCCAAGAGCGAUCGGCCGGCCUGGACCUUAACACCGAGGUGAACGAUCUGGGUCCACCCGAAAGAGUCCCCCAGAAUUAGGUGGGCAAAACGCAGCACCGAACUGUGGCUCGGAAUCCCUCCAGCCGCUCCCGGAAGAGGGCCGGCCACAGUGAGUAGGAUCCCCGGCAAGUGAGAGGACGGUAGCCCGACCUGACUUUCGACAGCUUAACCUGCUUGCGAAAGGUAAUCAGAGGAACUCGGGACCCUCCUUUGUGUCCGCCUGGGGUGUUGGCUCUCAGCAAGAAGCCUUAUCAACCUCAGGAGGAAACCAGAUAGCCGCUCGCAGAGCGAAAAGUUUUAAAGAACCAAGCCAUUCGGGUUCCAAAAAGGUACCUAAUCUGUCAGUCUCGUGUCCUUUGGGAUGCUAUCUCGUUCUUCAUCCUCCGACCCACACCCCCUGGCAGGAAACGCUUCCCUAGCUGUGAGGCGCUGGAGUACGGAGAAGCGGAGGCCAGCUCUGGCGGUCCGUUGGAGCAGGAGAAUUUCUGGGGAUACAGGGACGCUCUCCAAAUGGAUCAAUCAGUGAUAUUUAUCGAGCGCUUACCCCGGGCGGAGCUCUGUACGAAGCUCCUGGGAGGGUACAGUACAACAGAAUUAGCGGACACGUUCCCCGCCUUAAUGAGCUUAAGGAAUCUAGAAGGAUAACUGGAUUUCCCCGGUGGCCUGAGGUGAGGCGGGGGAGGCGGACAGGGGGAAGGAAAGCCAGCCGCGGGGAGUGAACCCCAGCACCAAUGAGGUCCCCAAUCAGCUCUCGUACUGGUCCUCCUGCCUCUCCACCCCAAGACGCCGCGCCCCACACGGCACUUACCGUCUAAGACGGAGGGAGAACGGCGAUUGAAUCCCCGUUAGAUGAGGAAACUGAGGCCCGGAGAAAUGGAGUGAUUUG
This is an RNA transcript of Tachyglossus aculeatus (Australian echidna), 1573 nucleotides long. It is a transcript of the gene named transmembrane protein 138, with no coding region annotated. The transcript is spliced from 5 exons. NCBI's taxonomy places the organism in Eukaryota, Metazoa, Chordata, Mammalia, Monotremata, Tachyglossidae. The record is from RefSeq and is a predicted model, not a curated record.